This 600-nucleotide ribosomal RNA is filed under the name uncultured bacterium. RNAcentral's name for it is "bacterial SSU rRNA". It matches the Rfam family "Bacterial small subunit ribosomal RNA", at positions 718 to 1321 of the family's 1533-position model. The record is from RNAcentral.
AAGGUAGCUGUCCAGCACACUACUGACGCUCAUGCACGAAAGCGUGGGUAUCGAACAGGAUUAGAUACCCUGGUAGUCCACGCGGUAAACGAUGAUAACUAGUUAUCCGGCUAAAUUGGUAGCUGGGUGACCGAGCGAAAGCGUUAAGUUAUCCACCUGGGGAGUACGCCGGCAACGGUGAAACUCAAAGGAAUUGACGGGGGCCCGCACAAGCGGAGGAACAUGUGGUUUAAUUCGAUGAUACGCGAGGAACCUUACCCGGGCUCAAACGCAAGGCGCUACACCCUGAAAGGGGUGGUUCUUCGGACGUCUUGCGAGGUGCUGCAUGGUUGUCGUCAGCUCGUGCCGUGAGGUGUCGGCUUAAGUGCCAUAACGAGCGCAACCCCCAUCUUCAGUUGCUAUCGGUUCAAGCCGGGCACUCUGGAGAGACUGCCGGCGCAAGCUGUGAGGAAGGCGGGGAUGACGUCAAAUCAGCACGGCCCUUACGUCCGGGGCGACACACGUGUUGCAAGGCGGGGGACAGCGGGAAGCCACGGGCGACGCCGAGCCGAUCCCGAAAACCCGUCUCAGUUCGGAUCGGAGUCUGCAACCCGACUCCGU